AUUUGGAUCCAAUUUCAGUCCUAUAAAGGGGCUUAAUUUUCAGUUAAAAAGUAGAAGAACCAAAGCUGGAAAUGGUGUUUGUUUGGUUGUAUCUGCUACUGGUAAAAAUUCUGGAAUUAGCAAUGAGUCUGGUGUUGUUAAUUGGAGCAGAUUUUAUCUCAAUUUCACUGGAUUUCCUUUCCCUCUUGGCCCUUUCCUCAAUAGACAAACCAUUAGAACUGAGGCUGUGAAAGAUACCAUAUGGUUAUUUGAGCAAGAGCAAGCACUCGGAUUCAGCAGUGUUUCAA
Molecule: unclassified non-coding RNA, 287 nt
Filed under: Hevea brasiliensis (rubber tree)
Lineage: Eukaryota; Viridiplantae; Streptophyta; Magnoliopsida; Malpighiales; Euphorbiaceae
Source: RNAcentral